UGAGGCGUGGCUUCCGAGCUAACGCGUUAAGUCGACCGCCUGGGAGUACGGCCGCAAGGUUAAAAUUCAAAUGAAUGACGGGGGCCCGCACAAGCGGUGGAGCAUGUGGUUUAAUUCGAUGCAACGCGAAGAACCUUACCUGGCCUUGACAUCCACGGAAUUUGGCAGAGAUGCCUUAGUGCCUUCGGGAACCGUGAGACAGGUGCUGCAUGGCUGUCGUCAGCUCGUGUUGUGAAAUGUUGGGUUAAGUCCCGCAACGAGCGCAACCCUUAUCCUUUGUUGCCAGCGAUACGGUCGGGAACUCAAAGGAGACUGCCGGUGAUAAACCGGAGGAAGGUGGGGAUGACGUCAAGUCAUCAUGGCCCUUACGGCCAGGGCUACACACGUGCUACAAUGGCGCAUACAAAGAGAAGCGACCUCGCGAGAGCAAGCGGACCUCAUAAAGUGCGUCGUAGUCCGGAUCGGAGUCUGCAACUCGACUCCGUGAAGUCGGAAUCGCUAGUAAUCGUAGAUCAGAAUGCUACGGUGAAUACGUUCCCGGGCCUUGUACACACCGCCCGUCACACCAUGGGAGUGGGUUGCAAAAGAAGUAGGUAGCUUAACCUUCGGGAGGGCGCUUACCACUUUGUGAUUCAUGACUGGGGUGAAGUCGUAACAAGGUAACCAAGGGCGAAUUCCAG
RNAcentral lists this ribosomal RNA (680 nucleotides) under uncultured Erwinia sp. RNAcentral describes it as "bacterial SSU rRNA". It matches the Rfam family "Bacterial small subunit ribosomal RNA", at positions 834 to 1516 of the family's 1533-position model. The record is from RNAcentral. Lineage: Bacteria; Pseudomonadati; Pseudomonadota; Gammaproteobacteria; Enterobacterales; Erwiniaceae.